Molecule: ribosomal RNA, 645 nt
Filed under: Ralstonia mannitolilytica
Lineage: Bacteria; Pseudomonadati; Pseudomonadota; Betaproteobacteria; Burkholderiales; Burkholderiaceae
Description: bacterial SSU rRNA
Rfam family: Bacterial small subunit ribosomal RNA
Source: RNAcentral
CUCCUACGGGAGGCAGCAGUGGGGAAUUUUGGACAAUGGGCGAAAGCCUGAUCCAGCAAUGCCGCGUGUGUGAAGAAGGCCUUCGGGUUGUAAAGCACUUUUGUCCGGAAAGAAAUGGCUCUGGUUAAUACCCGGAGUCGAUGACGGUACCGGAAGAAUAAGGACCGGCUAACUACGUGCCAGCAGCCGCGGUAAUACGUAGGGGUCCAAGCGUUAAUCGGAAUUACUGGGCGUAAAGCGUGCGCAGGCGGUUGUGCAAGACCGAUGUGAAAUCCCCCGGGCUUAACCUGGGAAUUGCAUUGGUGACUGCACGGCUAGAGUGUGUCAGAGGGAGGUAGAAUUCCACGUGUAGCAUGAAAUGCGUAGAGAUGUGGAGGAAUACCGAUGGCGAAGCAGCCUCCCUGGGAUAACACUGACGCUCAUGCACGAAAAGCGUGGGGAGCAAACAGGAUUAGAUACCCCUGGUAGUCCACGCCCCUAAACGAUGUCAACUAAGUUGUUGGGGAUUCAUUUCCUUAGUAACGUAGCUAACGCGUGAAGUUGACCGCCUGGGGAGUACGGUCGCAAGAUUAAAACUCAAAGGAAUUGACGGGGAACCCGCACAAGCGGUGGAUGAUGUGGAUUAAUUCGAUGCAACGCGAAAAA